RNAcentral lists this ribosomal RNA (443 nucleotides) under uncultured bacterium. Its description in RNAcentral is "partial 16S ribosomal RNA". It matches the Rfam family "Bacterial small subunit ribosomal RNA", at positions 338 to 795 of the family's 1533-position model. The record is from RNAcentral.
CCUACGGGUGGCAGCAGUGGGGAAUAUUGGGCAAUGGGCGCAAGCCUGACCCAGCAACGCCGCGUGAAGGAAGAAGGCUUUCGGGUUGUAAACCUCUUUUCUGAGGGACGUAAAAAGUGACGGUACCUCAGGAAUAAGCCACGGCUAACUACGUGCCAGCACCCGCGGUAAUACGGAGGUGGCAAGCGUUAUCCGGAUUUAUGGGGUGUAAAGGGAGUGUAGGCGGGAAAGCAAGUCAGAUGUGAAAGCUCAGGGCUCAACCCUGAGACUGCAGUUGAUACUGUUUUUCUUGAGUGCUGGAGAGGCAAUCGGAAUUCGGGGUGUAGCGGUGAAAUGCGUAGAUAUAAGGAGGAACACCAGUGGCGAAGGCGGAUUGCUGGACAGUAACUGACGCUGAGGCGCGAAAGCGUGGGGAGCAAACAGGAUUAGAUACCCUAGUAGUC